GGGGAAUUUUCCGCAAUGGGCGAAAGCCUGACGGAGCAACGCCGCGUGAGGGAUGAAGGCCUCUGGGCUGUAAACCUCUUUUCUCAAGGAAGAAGAUCUGACGGUACUUGAGGAAUAAGCCACGGCUAAUUCCGUGCCAGCAGCCGCGGUAAUACGGGAGUGGCAAGCGUUAUCCGGAAUUAUUGGGCGUAAAGCGUCUGCAGGUGGUUUUAUAAGUCUACUGUUAAAUCUUAAGGCUCAACCUUAAAUCUGCAGUGGAAACUAUAAGACUUGAGUAUAGUAAGGGUAGAGGGAAUUUCCGGUGGAGCGGUGAAAUGCGUAGAGAUCGGAAAGAACACCAAUAGCGAAAGCACUCUGCUGGGCCGACACUGACACUGAGAGACGAAAGCUAGGGGAGCAAAUGGGAUUAGAUACCCCAGUAGUC
This 424-nucleotide ribosomal RNA is filed under the name uncultured cyanobacterium. Its description in RNAcentral is "bacterial SSU rRNA". It matches the Rfam family "Bacterial small subunit ribosomal RNA", at positions 356 to 795 of the family's 1533-position model. Lineage: Bacteria; Bacillati; Cyanobacteriota. The record is from RNAcentral.